GAGAAGAUGGCUCAACUGGUAAAGUGCCAGCCUGGCAAGCAUGAGGCCCUGAGUUCAAAUCCCCAGAACCCACA
This 74-nucleotide transfer RNA is filed under the name Mus musculus (house mouse). RNAcentral describes it as "tRNA-Ala". The record is from RNAcentral. Lineage: Eukaryota; Metazoa; Chordata; Mammalia; Rodentia; Muridae.